CACUACACUGAGCAUGCGCAACAUUCCCUCCCCCCCCUAGCCUAGGCACGUGUCCGUCUGGGCGCACCCCCUAACAUACACAAGCAGCGCAGGCACGCCCGCACCUCGUCGAUCGUCGCUUCUGUUAUUAAUAUUUAUUAUCUCGAUAAUGUCUCGUGAGGAAUCACAGAUUCCAACAACCUCAACUUCUCAUGCAGAAAAGUAUGAAGACUUAUUACAAAGAAUGCGGCAGCGCCCCGAAUUAUGAAAGAGUCGCGAUUACUUUACAAGAGAUUCAACGCAUGCAAAUAAAGUCACUGUCACUGAGAGUGAAGAGAAAUCGGAGGAGGACACAGAAAAAGAAAGCGUGGACACCAGGGCAAUCAGAAAAGCUGCUAUCGCAGCUUUACCGUAUGGGUAUACGGGUAUCUUGGGUCUGGUAAACGGAAAGCGAUACCAGCUUGUGCGGUGAAGGCCAUCAGAGCAGCAUUCCCCGACCCAAAAGGGCAAUAUGUGGGCUUUCUACAAGCCUGUGAUUUUGCAGCCGAAUUUAUGAUAUUUUAUUAGUAAAAUAUUAUAACUGCAAUUGUUCAAAGUUAUUUAUAAUGUUUAAAUUUUUUUUUAUACUGGUUUUCUUUAAAUAUGUUAUAUUUAUUUAAAUAAAUUUAAAGAAAUAUUUUUUUAUUAUUUUAUGGAAA
Long non-coding RNA from Xenopus tropicalis (tropical clawed frog), 677 nucleotides. RefSeq lists it as uncharacterized. The record is from RefSeq and is a predicted model, not a curated record. NCBI's taxonomy places the organism in Eukaryota, Metazoa, Chordata, Amphibia, Anura, Pipidae. The transcript has 4 exons.